AAAACACUACAGAAAGAAAAUAUGCAGCUGAAACAGGAAAUUAUAAGUCUCAAAAGUAAUAAUGAGAGAAAUACGUUAAAAUGUGGUGAAGCUGAACAGUAUGAAGUGCUGCUUGAAGGAAGAUCAGGACAGAAGAUAGUAGAAAAGUUAAACGAAAUGCAUCUCCUCUUGCAGGCUCAAGCAGCAUCUCUAGAACAGUUCCUGCAAAGGCUGAAUGAUUUUGCUUCAGAAAGAGCUCAGAUGUAACUGAAAAUCCAAGAUCUGGAAUCUGAACUCUCCAGAAUAAAAACUUUGCAAGCUG
This is a long non-coding RNA of Sapajus apella (tufted capuchin), 301 nucleotides long. RefSeq lists it as uncharacterized. Lineage: Eukaryota; Metazoa; Chordata; Mammalia; Primates; Cebidae. The transcript has 2 exons. The record is from RefSeq and is a predicted model, not a curated record.